CCUACGGGCGGCAGCAGUGAGGAAUAUUGGUCAAUGGGCGGAAGCCUGAACCAGCCAAGUCGCGUGAGGGAAUAAGGCCCUACGGGUCGUAAACCUCUUUUGCCGGGGAGCAAGGGCGGGGACGUGUCCCGGCCCGGAGAGUACCCGGAGAAAAAGCAUCGGCUAACCCCUUGCCAGCAGCCGCGGUAAUACGGAGGAUGCGAGCGUUAUCCGGAUUUAUUGGGUUUAAAGGGUGCGUAGGCGGAAUAUCAAGUCAGCGGUAAAAAUUCGGGGCGAAACCCCGUAGUGCCGUUGAAACUGGUGUUCUUGAGUGGGGGAGAGGUAUGCGGAAUGCGUGGUGUAGCGGUGAAAUGCAUAGAUAUCACGCAGAACUCCGAUUGCGAAGGCAGCAUACCGG
Molecule: ribosomal RNA, 397 nt
Filed under: uncultured bacterium
Lineage: Bacteria
Description: partial 16S ribosomal RNA
Rfam family: Bacterial small subunit ribosomal RNA
Source: RNAcentral